RNAcentral lists this ribosomal RNA (791 nucleotides) under uncultured bacterium. Its description in RNAcentral is "bacterial SSU rRNA". It matches the Rfam family "Bacterial small subunit ribosomal RNA", at positions 8 to 796 of the family's 1533-position model. The record is from RNAcentral.
AGAGUUUGAUCAUGGCUCAGAUUGAACGCUGGCGGCAUGCCUUACACAUGCAAGUCGAACGGCAGCACGGGGGCAACCCUGGUGGCGAGUGGCGAACGGGUGAGUAAUACAUCGGAACGUGUCCUGGAGUGGGGGAUAGCCCGGCGAAAGCCGGAUUAAUACCGCAUACGCUCUACGGAGGAAAGGGGGGGAUCGCAAGACCUCUCGCUCAAGGGGCGGCCGAUGGCAGAUUAGCUAGUUGGUGGGGUAAAGGCCUACCAAGGCGACGAUCUGUAGCUGGUCUGAGAGGACGACCAGCCACACUGGGACUGAGACACGGCCCAGACUCCUACGGGAGGCAGCAGUGGGGAAUUUUGGACAAUGGGCGCAAGCCUGAUCCAGCAAUGCCGCGUGUGUGAAGAAGGCCUUCGGGUUGUAAAGCACUUUUGUCCGGAAAGAAAACUUCCUGGUUAAUACCUGGGGAGGAUGACGGUACCGGAAGAAUAAGCACCGGCUAACUACGUGCCAGCAGCCGCGGUAAUACGUAGGGUGCGAGCGUUAAUCGGAAUUACUGGGCGUAAAGCGUGCGCAGGCGGUCUGUUAAGACAGAUGUGAAAUCCCCGGGCUUAACCUGGGAACUGCAUUUGUGACUGGCAGGCUAGAGUAUGGCAGAGGGGGGUAGAAUUCCACGUAGCAGUGAAAUGCGUAGAGAUGUGGAGGAAUACCGAUGGCGAAGGCAGCCCCCUGGGCCAAUACUGACGCUCAUGCACGAAAGCGUGGGGAGCAAACAGGAUUAGAUACCCUAGUAGUCC